Molecule: ribosomal RNA, 584 nt
Filed under: Mycobacterium brasiliensis
Lineage: Bacteria; Bacillati; Actinomycetota; Actinomycetes; Mycobacteriales; Mycobacteriaceae
Description: bacterial SSU rRNA
Rfam family: Bacterial small subunit ribosomal RNA
Source: RNAcentral
AUGCAAGUCGAACGGAAAGGCCCUUUCGGGGGUGCUCGAGUGGCGAACGGGUGAGUAACACGUGGGUGAUCUGCCCUGCACUUUGGGAUAAGCCUGGGAAACUGGGUCUAAUACCGAAUACUUCCUACUGGUUGCAUGGCUGGUAGGGGAAAGCUUUUGCGGUGUGGGAUGAGCCCGCGGCCUAUCAGCUUGUUGGUGGGGUGAUGGCCUACCAAGGCGACGACGGGUAGCCGGCCUGAGAGGGUGUCCGGCCACACUGGGACUGAGAUACGGCCCAGACUCCUACGGGAGGCAGCAGUGGGGAAUAUUGCACAAUGGGCGCAAGCCUGAUGCAGCGACGCCGCGUGGGGGAUGACGGCCUUCGGGUUGUAAACCUCUUUCAGUACCGACGAAGCGUAAGUGACGGUAGGUACAGAAGAAGCACCGGCCAACUACGUGCCAGCAGCCGCGGUAAUACGUAGGGUGCGAGCGUUGUCCGGAAUUACUGGGCGUAAAGAGCUCGUAGGUGGUUUGUCGCGUUGUCCGUGAAAACUCACAGCUUAACUGUGGGCGUGCGGGCGAUACGGGCAGACUGGAGUACUGCA